Long non-coding RNA from Musa acuminata AAA Group (dessert banana), 2932 nucleotides. RefSeq lists it as uncharacterized. The record is from RefSeq and is a predicted model, not a curated record. The transcript is spliced from 3 exons. Lineage: Eukaryota; Viridiplantae; Streptophyta; Magnoliopsida; Zingiberales; Musaceae.
ACCUGAAAAGAGGUUGGAAAAUGGUUCUUUAUUUGAUGUAUCUGAAAUUAAAGGUUUUCUCAAAAAAUAUUUAUUGUUCAUGUUCUUAGAUUACUAGUCUGCUUACUGAAAAGAUGAUGACAAAAGUGUAGGAGAACAGAUGCAGAAGCCAUUGUUCUGACUUCAUUUCAUCUGGUUAUAUGAAAAGCAUGUUGGAUGGAUCAAUUGUUUGUAUGAGUAAAACUCAAAAGGACACUACAAAUUCUUCGUUCUUUUGAUAAAUUUAUCAUUUUUAAUAAGUUAAAAUUUACUUUAAAUUUUAGAUAUUUUAUAUUAAAAAGUUAAUGAGACGAGAAGAGAGGAAAAAAAGAAUGACACAUGAGAGCUAAGGACGAUGAAAGCGAUGAUGACGACGAUCGAAGAUUAGAUGACGGAGAGAGAGAGAGCUUUGAGGGGGAGGGGGAGGAGGAGGAGGGAAGGCAGUGGUGGUCGGCCUUAGAGUGGACUCGCAGAGCCGAGAAGUCCUCGCUACCCUGGCGGUAGUGUCGUCGUCGUCCGCGUCCUGUCUCCUCGUCGCCAUGCUGCGGCGGCAGCGCUUCAGCGUGCAAGGAUUCUGGCGGUCAGCCGCCCGCUUUGUUCUCUCUCGCCAAGGACUUGGGCGCCAUGCUCGCCGUCUACGAGGGCUUCUGCGACCUUCAGCAGGCCCCUUUCCCGCACCUCAAAAUCCAGUCUUUAUGCUCAAAGCCGGACCUUCAUCGAUCUCGUCGAUUUCCCCGGUUGAUCGACCUAAAGCUGAAUUUUUUGCAAGCGUUCCACCGUCCGUAGGGUUCUGACGCGAGAGAGGAGAGCUUUCGCAGUGUCAAAACUCGUUCUUGGGGUCGCUGAGAACAGCUACGCCGUAGAAUGUUUCACUGGUUUCUCUAAGUUCUGUGCUGGAGACUGCUUUUGCCAAAGAUUCACUAUUUUGAGGUACUUCGGCCUCUUUCAGAUCUUUCUUUGUUGGUCUCUGUAGCUAACUAUUCUGCCAAGAAAUGAGUUGAAUGGUUGUAGCACUUGGAACUGAUGAGAACAACUCACCCACCGUCGUUAACAGCUCGCUAAGAAGCAACUGUUCCAUACCUGCGCCUGAAUCGGAUUCUGCUCUCUUGAAUAGGUUGAAGGACGAAGAGUCAUCGGCCUUGGUGCCAUUGGAGAAAUCUGUGAAGCUCCACUGAAUGGCUCUGUGCCUAUGAUAUGGCGGAAUCUCAACCUGGUUGGUCUUCUCUUAGAAGCCCGGUCCUAACAAGCAGGAAGACUGUUUCCAUGGAGAAGCACAAGAUCUCUUUAGUCCAAUGGGUUACAAUUCUAGGAAGUUGGAUCGAAGUAUUACACAAAAACGAUAUGGAGAGAUCAGCAGGGCCAUUGUUCCGGUUGGACCUGAUUCACCACCACAGGGGGCUGUCUUAUGAGUUGAAGUCUCUCCAUUAGAAGCAUUUAUCUGUUUGCAGAUUUUUCAGCUGCAUGGAACUCACACGAGCAACAACCAACUUCUCACGCAGUUAUUUCUGAAAUUUUGUCAUGCUAAUCGCGUUUAAUUCAUGAACAUUUCUUAUGUUAAUCAAGUUUGCAAUGCCGGUUUCUGAUUGGGAAGGGAAGAAUUAGCAGUGUUUAUAAUGCCAGUCUUUCAGAUGGCAAGGAAUUGGCUUUAAAAAUCUUGAAGCCCUCUGAAGAUGCAACAAAAGAGUUCUGUUUCAGAGAUUGAGAUUGCCACUACCCUUGCAUCACAAAAACAUUAUUUCGCUGCUCAGGUUUUGCUUUGAGAAUAACUGUCUAAUAUUCGUCUAUGACUAUGUAUCAAGGGAUAGCUUAGAACAAAUCCUCCAUGGUGACAAAUAGAACAAGCAUUUUCUCAGUUGGCCUGAAAGAUUCAAGGUGGCAAUAGCAUUGAUCCUGUGAUCCAUAGUGAUGUAAAGUCCUCAAACAUGCUUCUCUCUGAGGAUUUCAGCCUGCAGUUCCUGUUUCUUCUAUGAUGUGCUUCUUGCAUCGCAUCUCUUAUAAAUAUGUGUGUCAUGUUUUUCUUCUUCAAAAUGUUUCAGUUGCCUGACUUUGAAUUGGCAAAAUGGUUAUCAGCGUCAACAUCACGACCAAUUUGCAGUGACAUUGCAGGGACUUUUGGAUCUGUGCUCUUUGUGCAGCAAUAGAUCGAUUUAUUUGCUAAAUGUUAGAUCAACAUCCCAAGUGACAACCUCACUUAGCUCCUGAAUACAUUUUAUAUGGCAAAGUUAAUGAAAAGGUCGAUGUAUAUGUUUUGGGUGUUGUUCUUCUCAAGCUCCAAGUAUUAUAUUUUGUUGGAAAUACUUUGCAUUUAGCUUUGUAAUAUCUAUUUGAGUAUACAUUUUGUUGGUAAAUCCUAUUGUAGAUAAUCCAACUCUGGUUCUCUUAUUUAUUUUCUCCAUGUAAUUGCAGGCAAAGCCAAUCUUACAAGAUGUAGCAGUUAAUAGUGAUCAAGUGGAAAGGAUGAUCAUAGCUUCUUCCUUGUGUGUAAGGUGGCUUCAUCGAAUUUGACCUCACAUAACACUUGUUUUAAAGACUACUCCAAGGAGAUGAUGCUGCUGUUAAAUGGGCAAGCUAUGUUUCAUGAUGAAGUAUCAAACCCAGAAUCUGACAUCCAAUCCCACCUUAGUCACGCAUUAGGAUUACCCGAUCUCGAUCAGCAGCAGCGAUCACAAAUUUGCUUCUCUAACCGCGAGCAUUUCUAUUGAGAACUACUUGCAAUGUGGAAGGAGCCAUUCAUCAUGCAAUUUCUGUAUAGUGUUCAUUUUUUCUGAUUCCUUGGCAAACUAUACACUUUGUGUAUAGUUCUUGCUUUAGAAUUCACCUAUUUUUGGAAUCAUUGAUAUUUUCUCAAUUGUUUGUGAACGAAGAUCAAGGAACUGAUAAGAGAGUUAAUUAUUUUUUGUGCUAAUUUAGUUUG